UACAGAGGUGGCAAGCGUUGUUCGGAAUUACUGGGCGUAAAGGGCGCGUAGGCGGCCUUCUAAGUCAGACGUGAAAUCCCCAGGCUUAACUUGGGAACUGCGUCUGAUACUGGGAGGCUUGAGUGCGGGAGAGGGAUGUGGAAUUCCAGGUGUAGCGGUGAAAUGCGUAGAUAUCUGGAGGAACACCGGUGGCGAAGGCGGCAUCCUGGACCGACACUGACGCUGAGGCGCGAAAGCUAGGAGAGCAAACGGG
This 253-nucleotide ribosomal RNA is filed under the name uncultured bacterium. Its description in RNAcentral is "partial 16S ribosomal RNA". It matches the Rfam family "Bacterial small subunit ribosomal RNA", at positions 524 to 776 of the family's 1533-position model. The record is from RNAcentral.